Molecule: ribosomal RNA, 253 nt
Filed under: uncultured bacterium
Lineage: Bacteria
Description: partial 16S ribosomal RNA
Rfam family: Bacterial small subunit ribosomal RNA
Source: RNAcentral
CACGUAGGGUGCAAGCGUUGUCCGGAAUCAUUGGGCGUAAAGAGCGUGUAGGCGGUCCGGUAAGUCGGCUGUGAAAGUCCAGGGCUCAACCCUGGGAUGCCGGUCGAUACUGCCGGACUAGAGUUCGGAAGAGGCGAGUGGAAUUCCCGGUGUAGCGGUGAAAUGCGCAGAUAUCGGGAGGAACACCUAUGGCGAAGGCAGCUCGCUGGGACGUUACUGACGCUGAGACGCGAAAGCGUGGGGAGCAAACAGG